This 747-nucleotide ribosomal RNA is filed under the name uncultured Agaricomycetes. RNAcentral describes it as "eukaryotic LSU rRNA". The stretch from base 314 to 467 matches the Rfam family "5.8S ribosomal RNA". The record is from RNAcentral. Lineage: Eukaryota; Fungi; Basidiomycota; Agaricomycetes.
CUUGGUCAUUUAGAGGAAGUAAAAGUCGUAACAAGGUUUCCGUAGGUGAACCUGCGGAAGGAUCAUUAUUGAUUUAAAGGGAUGUGCUGGCUGCCCUCACAGGUUUGCAUAUGUGCGUGCACUCCCAAAAUCUCCAUCCUCUACACCAUUGUGCACACCCAGUAGGCAAAACAAUGUGAGUCGACUUUUGUGUGUGUCGACUUCAGAGCAGUAGCAAUAUGUGCACAUUGUCUGCCUAUGUUUUUAUACCAAACCCCAAUAAUAUGCCAGAAUGAUGUAUUGCAGUAAGCUUUCACAAGCUGAAAUCUAAUACAACUUUCAACAAUGGAUCUCUUGGUUCUCGCAUCGAUGAAGAACGCAGCGAAUUGCGAUAUGUAAUGUGAAUUGCAGAAUUCAGUGAAUCAUCGAAUCUUUGAACGCACCUUGCACCCUCUGGUAUUCUGGAGGGUAUGCCUGUUUGAGUGUCAUUAAUCUCUCAACACGAGAAAACUUGUUUUCUUGUGCUUGGAAAGUGAAGGUUUUGCUGGCGCAAAUAACUGUCAGCUCCUUUUAAAUGCAUUAGCAGAACAGUGCAGGACUGGCCUCAGUUUGAUAAGAAAUAUUUAUCUAUGCUGUCGCUAGAUUUCCUCUUUGUGUUCAGCUUCAAACUGUCUUCGGACUGUCUCUCUUGAGGCAAAAUAAUUUAUUGAUCGACCUCAAAUCAGGUAGGACUACCCGCUGAACUUAAGCAUAUCAAUAAGCGGAGGA